AGAGUUUGAUCCUGGCUCAGGACGAACGCUGGCGGCGUGCCUAACACAUGCAAGUCGAGCGAAGUUUAUUUAGCAGCGACUUCGGUCAAAGCUGAUUAAACUUAGCGGCGAACGGGUGAGUAACACGUAGGCAACCUGCCCAUGACACGGGGAUAGCUUCGGGAAACCGGAGGUAAUACCCGAUACCUUUACUUAUUGCAUGAUAAGUAAAGAAAGCGAAUAGCGGUCAUGGAUGGGCCUGCGUCCCAUUAGCUAGUUGGUGAGAUAACAGCCCACCAAGGCGACGAUGGGUAGCCGACCUGAGAGGGUGACCGGCCACACUGGAACUGAGACACGGUCCAGACUCCUACGGGAGGCAGCAGUGGGGAAUCUUGCGCAAUGGGCGAAAGCCUGACGCAGCGACGCCGCGUGAGCGAAGAAGGCCUUCGGGUCGUAAAGCUCAGUCAUUGGGGAUGAGAUGACAGUACCCAAGGAGGAAGCCCCGGCUAACUACGUGCCAGCAGCCGCGGUAAUACGUAGGGGGCGNNNCUAACUACGUGCCAGCAGCCGCGGUAAUACGUAGGGGGCGAGCGUUGUCCGGAAUUACUGGGUGUAAAGGGCGUGUAGGCGGGGGUGCAAGUUACCGGUAAAAACCCAGGGCUCAACUCUGGGCUUGCCGGUAAAACUGCAUCUCUUGAGUGUAGGAGAGGGAAGUGGAAUUCCCGGAGUAGCGGUGAAAUGCGUAGAUACCGGGAGGAACACCAGUGGCGAAGGCGGCUUCCUGGCCUACAACUGACGCUGAGGCGCGAAAGCUAGGGUAGCGAACGGGAUUAGAUACCCCGGUAGUCCUAGCCGUAAACGAUGGU
This 845-nucleotide ribosomal RNA is filed under the name anaerobic digester metagenome. RNAcentral describes it as "bacterial SSU rRNA". It matches the Rfam family "Bacterial small subunit ribosomal RNA", at positions 8 to 813 of the family's 1533-position model. The record is from RNAcentral.